UACGUAGGUGGCAAGCGUUGUUCGGAAUUAUUGGGCGUAAAGGGCGCGUAGGCGGUCAGCACAAGUCAGUUGUGAAAUCUCCGGGCUUAACUCGGAAAGGUCAACUGAUACUGUGCGACUAGAGUGCAGAAGGGGCAACUGGAAUUCUCGGUGUAGCGGUGAAAUGCGUAGAUAUCGAGAGGAACACCUGCGGCGAAGGCGGGUUGCUGGGCUGACACUGACGCUGAGGCGCGAAAGCCAGGGGAGCGAACGGG
This 254-nucleotide ribosomal RNA is filed under the name uncultured bacterium. RNAcentral's name for it is "partial 16S ribosomal RNA". It matches the Rfam family "Bacterial small subunit ribosomal RNA", at positions 524 to 776 of the family's 1533-position model. The record is from RNAcentral.